Molecule: long non-coding RNA, 9162 nt
Organism: Phyllopteryx taeniolatus (common seadragon)
Lineage: Eukaryota; Metazoa; Chordata; Actinopteri; Syngnathiformes; Syngnathidae
Exons: 3
Source: RefSeq, a predicted model, not a curated record
UCUCCCGUAGUGCGUGGAGAGUUGUGUACUAUGGCUUAGCGAGAGGAUGUGCAACUUACCUAGUGGAAAACAUAGCAAUAAAAAAAAGUAAAGAAAGGAAAAGGAGAAGGAUAAAGGAGAAGGCGGGGGGCAUCAGAGACUUGACCUUAGGCACGUUUUUUCCCCCCUCCCCCUCACGCCCCCUUUUACCACUGGCUUUUACCUCAGACCAACUACAAGAGGCUGUCAGGAGGGACCUGGAGUUUGAAAUCUGAGAAAUGAAGCAAGAUGAGGGUCUUACCGGCGCUGUCUUUGCUCUGCUUUCCAGACUAGGAACAAAGGGCUGUGAUAGUUUGCCAAACCGGAAGAGAGUCAACUGUACUAUCCGCGGAUAUGAUGUCACGGCGCUACGUGGAAAGAGCCAGUUGUCCAGGAGGAAACCAGAAUACCCGGAGAAAACACACGCACAGGGAAAACAUACAAUCUCCACACAGGAAGCCUGGAGUCCGGAUUUGAGCCCACGACCUAUGAACUGUGAGGCGGAUGUUCUAACCCGGGUGUGUCAAACUCAUUUUUGUAGUGGGCCACAUUGUUGGUACAGUUUCCCUCAGAGGGCUGUUAAGACCGUGAAACCGUAUAAGGGUGUUUAUUUGAUUUUGGGCACUUUUUCUUUUUCAUUUUUUCUCAAAAAUAAAAUGUCACAAAAACUAUAUAUACCUACCUUACCUUAAUUGUCAUCUUUCUGUGUGUCAGAAUCUGUUCAUGUCCAUAUAUAUUGAUUUAAUAUAUAUAUUUUUUUAUUUGGUCUUUUUGUCAGAUACCCUAGAGAAAUGUCAUUACCGCGAGAGAAUUAAAGAUCAACGAACCCAUGGCAUCCAUUUGUGAAUGGAUUGUGGAUGCUUGGGCUAAAAUGUCUGCUUGCACCGUUAUUCGAGCUUUCGUAAAAGCCGGCAUAAUUUCUGAGCAGCCGCACGGCGACGAGACUGACUCCGACAAUGACAAGAGGGAACCUGGCGUGUUUGAUUGAGAACUUGCCCAGCUGUUCAUUUCGGAUACAGAAGAUGAGGACUUUGAUGGAUUUUUGGAUGAGGAUUGAUAAAAAAAAUAACGUGAGUACAUUGUUAAAUACUUCAAUAAAGUACAACCGAACUCAGUUUUGCUCCCGCUACCUUUUUAAAAACAUUGUUUUAGCGUGCAUGCAUGCUACCGUAUGUUUUAAGCUAGCGUAUGUUUUACCAUGCCUGCUCCCAAUAAUACGGUGUGCCUUAUGUAUGUUAAAUACAGAAAUAGACCCCGUAACUGAGACUGCACCUUUUAAUACGGUGCGCCUUAUCGUCGUGAAAAUACGGUAAGUUUUCAAAUCAGAAGUCAAGGAUAAUAGUUUGUUCAACUAUUGUUCGUUCACAUGACUGUAAAAAAAGGUUUAGUAACAAAACAAAACAAAAUGCUUGCAAUACCUCAACUUUAUUAUUUCUUAUGUAUUCCUAUGUGAAAUUAUGGUACAGAUUUUCGCAAGCAUCAUGGAAGUUGAUGCAAAUGAUUUGCUUUCGCCGGCCACAUAAAAUGAUUCACUUUUUGCAGUCAGAUUUGCGCUGACAAAACCGCGAGUUCUUCAUUCAAUCGACAACAAACAGAGCUUCCAAAAUUAGCAGUAACAGUUCCUCGUACUUAAAAUGCACGAGUGAAGGCAUAAGUAGCCAUGUUGAUCCUUUGAAACUGUCUGCCUGUCAUAUCCCCCCACCCCCAAUACUGAGUGCUGUAUAUCCAUCCAUCCAUUUUCUGAGCCGCUUCUCCUCACUAGGGUCGCGGGCGUGCUGGAGCCUAUCCCAGCUGUCAUCGGGCAGGAGGCGGGGUACACCCUGAACUGGUUGCCAGCCAAUCGCAGGGCACAUAGGAACAAACAACCAUUUGCACUCACAGUCAUGCCUACGGGCAAUUUAGAGUCUCCAAUUCAGGCAUGUUUUUGGGAUGUGGGAGGAAACCGGAGUGCCCGGAGAAAACCCACGCAGGCACGGGGAGAACAUGCAAACUCCACACAGGCGGGGCCGGGGAUUGAACCCGGGUCCUCAGAACUGUGAGGCUGACGCUCUAACCAGUCGUCCACCGUGCCGCCGAGUGCUGUAUAGUUCAUACAAAUAAGAAGACACUGCUCAUAGAAUUACGUGCACAUGCUUGCCUGAUGCUGUUGUGCAGGCCAAUGUCAUGUCCUGCAUUCUCCUCUCUAAAACCAACUGCCCUCAUGUCUUCCCUCACAACAUCCAUCAACCUUCUCUUUGGUCUUCCUCUAGCUCUCUUGCCUGGCAGCUCCAUCCUCAUCAUCCUUCUACCAAUAUACUCACUAUUUCUCCUCUGGAUGUGUCCGAACCAUCGAAGUCUGCUCUCUCUAACUUUGUCUCCAAAACAUAGUACCUUGGCUUUCCCUCUGAUGAGCUAAUUUCUAAUUUUAUCCAACCUGGUCACUCCGAGAGCGAACCUCAACAUCUUCAUUUCCGCCACCUCCAACUCUGCUUCCUGAUGUCUCUUCAGUGCCACUCUCCCUAAUCCGUACAUCAUGGCUGGCCUCACCACUGUUUCAUAAACUUUGCCCUUCAUCCUAGCAGAGACUCUUCUGUCACAUAACACACCUGACACCUUCCUCCACCCGUUGCAACCUGCUUGGACCUGUUUCUUCACUUCCUUACCACACUCACUAUUGCUCUGGACGGUUGACCCCAAGUAUUUGAAGGCAUCCACCCUUGCUAUCUCGUCUCCCUGUAGCCUCACACUUCCCCCUCCACCUCUCUCAUUCAUGCACAUAUAUUCUGUCUUACUUUGGCUAAUCUUCAUUUCUCUCCUUUCCAGUGCAUGCUUCCACCUUUCUAACUGUUCCUCCACCUACUCCCUGCUUUCACUGCAGAUCACAAGGUCAUCUGCAAACAUCAUGGUUCACAGGGAUUUCAGUCUAACCUCAUCUGUCAGCCUAUCCAUCACCACUGCAAACAGGAAGGGACUCAGGGCUGAUCCCUGAUGCAGUCCUACCUCCAACUUAAAUUCGUCUGUCACACCUACAGCACACUUCACCGCUGUUCUGCUGCCCUCGUACAUGUUCUGUAUUAUUCUAACAUAUUUCUCUGCCACUCCAGACCUCCACAUGCAGUAACACAGUUCCUCGCUUGGUACUCUGUCAUAGGCUUUCUCUAGAUCCACAAAGACACAAUCUAGCUCCCUCUGACCAAGGCAAAUGCAUCUGUGGUACUCUUUCUAGGCAUGAAACCAUAUUGUUGCUCGUAAAUACUCACUUCUGUCCUGAGUCUAGCCUUCACUACUCUUUCCCAUAAGACAAGAGCCAUCUCUCCUGGAUGCUUCCAUACCUCCACAAGUAUGUCAUCAGGACCAACUUCCUUUCCAUUUUCCAUCCUCUUUAAUGCCUUUCUAACUUCCCCCUUACUAAUCAUUGCCACUUCCUGGUCCACCACACUUGCCUCACCUACUCUUCCUUCUCAUUUUCCUCAUUCAUCAAUUCCUCAAAGUAUUAUUUCCAUCUAUCCAGCACACUAUUGGCACCAGUUAACACAUUUCUCUUUCCUUCAUCAACCUAACCUACUGCACAUCUUUCCCAUCUUUAUCCCUCUGUCUGGCCAACCUGUAUAGAUCCUUUUCUCCUUUUUUAGUGUCCAACCUGGCAUACAUGCCUUAUUUGGCCUUUGCCACCUCUACCUUUGCCCUACAUCGCAUCUCAAAGUAUUUUUUUCUCCUCUCCUCAGUCCUCUCAGUGUCCCACUUCUUCUUAGCUAACAUCUGUCCUUAUAUGAUUUCCUGUACUUUGAGGUUCCACCACCAAGUCCCCUUCUUCCCUUUCCUACCAGAAGAUACACCAAGUACUCUCCGCCCUGUCUCUCUGAUCACCUUGGCUCUAGUGGUCCAGUCUUCUGGAAGCUCCUCCUGUCCACCGAGAGCCUGUCUCACCUCUUCCCAGAAAGCUGCACAACACUCUUCCUUUCUCAGCUUCCACCAGGUUUGCUGCUCUGGUUUUGUCUUCUUGAGCUUCUACACCACCAUCCUAUGCUGUCUUGCCACACUCUCCCCUACCAGUACCUUACAGUCAGUAACCUCUUUCAGAUGACAUCGUCUGCAUAAGAUGUAAUCCACCUGCGUGCCUCUACCUCCGCUCUUGUAGGUCACCCUAUGUACCUGCCUCUUCUGGAAAAAAGUGUUCGCUACAGCCAUUUCCAUCCUUUUAGCAAAGACUACCACCAUCCUACCUGUGGGGCAUAGCCGCUAAUGACAUUAUACAUAACACCCUCAAUUUAAAAUUUCACCCUCAUCACUCAAUCUGAUACUCUAUUCACCUCCAAGACAUUCUUAGGUAACUCUUCUUAGGUAACUCUUCUUUUAAAAUAACCACUACUCCACUACUUCCCAUCUACACCAUGGUAAAAUAAUUUAAACCCUGCCCCUAAACUUCUAGCCUUACUGCUUUUCCACUUGCUCUCCUGUACACACAAUAUAGCAACCUUUUUCCUAAUCAUUAUGUUAACCAACUCCCGAGAUUUUCCUGUCAUAGUCCAAACAUUGAAAGUCCCCACAUUCAAUUCUAGGCUCUCUGCUUUCCUCUUCUCUUUCUGCCUAAGAACCCACUUUCCACCUCUCCUUCGUCUUCGACCCACAGUAGCUGAAUUUCCACCGGCGCCCUGCAGGUUAAAGCCGCCAGGGACGGAUGCUGUUAACCCCGGCCACGACCGAUCCGGUAUGGAAUUCUUUAGAUGAACGCUUAUAUUUGUUUGACAAAGUUUUAAGUCGGAUGCCCUUCCUGAUGCAACCCUCUGCAUUUAUCCGGUCUUGGGACCGGCCUACAGUUUGCACUGGCUUGUGCCCCCCAUAGUGCUGCAUUCUCAUAAUGACUGAAUGAUGAAUUCAAUUAAUUCAGCGUUCAAUAUGUAAGGCAUAGGACUUGGUAAACCAAAAAAAAAAAAAAAAACCUCAGGUUAGGUAGGAAAAAAAUGCCUGUUUGAGGCAAACCUAUCACACACUGUAUUUAAAAGUCCCAUAUUUUGGCUGUUUAGACCUCCAUAGUAUAAAACUGUCAAUUUCAUUUAAAAAAACACCUUGGUUUUCUUAUACGAGUGUCCAGAAAAGCCCCUCUGACAACUACUUCUGUUUGACCCAGUUUUGUAUCAGCUUUGUCCAUAUUUGGCUAAGACCGCCCCCUUUCCUCUGAUUGGUUGCCUCCAAGUAGAAGACCCACUUGUGAGAGGACACGUGUGGCUCGGGAGCGUAAAGGGAAGGUGCAGCUCUUCGCUAGUGGCGUAGAUAAGCUUGAGAAAUUCAAAUGACCUGAUUUCAGGCCUCUCUGGAACUCAAGAAAGUGUGGAGGAUUUUAAUUCCUAUUUCACGUUUACUGAGGCACCAUAGAGCCAAUAUAACAUGCCAAAUACUAGAAAAAGUUGGUUUGUGAUUUUGACCUCAUUUCUGAUUACCCAGGUUAAAUAUGGUGCUAAAAAUGUCUUGGCGAUGAUUGAAAGAAAGUAGAAAGAAGUAGGUUGUAAUAUAUGUUUUAGUUGAAUUUAGGUGGGCAUGAAAAGUAAUGAGUGAUCUGAAAAUUUGCCAUUUCUGCCUCGACUCUCCCAUUCCUGUCUGUCACCCUUUGCUGCUAGUUCCAUUUUCAGGCCCAUUCAUAUGGUAAUAGAGGUCAGGAGAUGAGGGGGUUCUCACGUUCAAUGUGAAGCUUGGCUCUUUGUUUGGCCACGGCUCAAGCUGCCGCCACAGAGGCCAGAGGUGGGAUUGAAUUCAGCUGAAAUCCCCUGUGUAUCUGGUCUUGUUCUGGGCAGUGCACAGGGACUGGACUGGCCCUGAUGGAGGACUGACACUGAUCCAGGGCUGAAGGGGUAGCUGCACUUUUCAAUUACCAUUGGAUUUGCACUUUUCUGCUAUUUUGGAUCAGUAUUUAUGGGCCAUGUUCCUGUUCGCAGGUUUGAAUGAAGUACGAAGUCUCUCACGCGAAGGAUUUCUUACAAGCGGCAUCAUCUUUAAGCGGAUAUGUUAUUGAACCUGUUUACUAGUGAUCAUUCACAAAGGAAUUAUGGCUUCAUAAUGUCGUAAUACAGUGGAAACGGGCGAUUUGUUCAGAGACUGAAUUAAUCCAUUCCAAAGUCAAACUAUGGCCAUCGUGAAAUCUUUCUUAACUGUACAGGCAGCAAUUUUAAGAAGUGUAACCACUUUAUAUGAAAACCGAAAAACAAUACAUUGUGUGGCGGCAUGGUGGGCGACUGGUUAACACAUCUGCCUCACAGUUUUGAGGACCGGGGUACAAAUCCCGGCCCCGCCUGUGUGGAGUUUGAAUGUUCUCCCCGUGCCUGAGUGGGUUUUCUCCGGGCACUCCGGUUUCCUCCCACAUCCCAAAAAACAUGUGUGGUAGGUUGAUUGAAGACUCUAAAUUGCCCAUAGGUGUGAAUGUGAGCGCAAAUGGUUGUUUGUUUCUCUGUGCCCUGCGAUUGGCUGGCGACCAGUUCAGGGUGUACCCCGCCUCUCGCCCGAAGAUAGCUGGGAUAGACACUUGCACCCCCGCGACCCUUGUGAGGAUAAAGCGGUUCAGACAAUGGGUGGAUGGAAUACAUUGUGUUACUCUAACAUUGACAACACAUGACAGAUGUGUAGUUUAUAUCGAAUUGCAUGACAGCGGAUGAUGUGUCCUGCCUUUUAACAUUCUUCUUAAAUGUCAUGCCAGUAUAAAACACAAUUAACAUUAGCAUAUUAAAAUUGUGUACUGACAACCGACUUUGAGUACUUGUGCUCAAGCUGAAUGUUUCCAGCAUAAUAAAGUAACACAGCCCAGUUUCUUAUAUACGUUUUGUUUUCUUUUAAAUAUUGAAAUCGACAUCUGAAUGCUGCACCGUUAGCCAUUUUAUAAGGUUUUUACAGUACUUACUUACAACAGUGUCAAAUCAACAUUUCUAUUCAUUGUGGUGCUGUUGAGUUACACAAGGUAAAUGGGAGGCUUGCAGAAGAAGUAGGCCAGGUAAUUCUUAUCUUCAAUUAGCAUACAGCAGAACUGACUGGGAUGUCACUCUUUAGCACUCAACCCAAAGUCAGGGUUUCAUUAAAAAAAAGGGCAACAUACAUCUGUAAUGCGAGAGUUUAAUAAGACACACAUUCAGCGAACUACGGGUAACAUAAACACACAUGAUUAAUGUUACGUUAAUCCUUAUCGUUCAUGAACAUUAAGAAUUUACAUCGACCUUGACUCUGGUGUGAGUGUGUGUGUGUGUGUGUGUGUGCGCGCGCAUGUUUGUUGGGUGUCAGAGUACAGGUGGGCAGAGAACAGAAGAGGGAGCGGGUGCAGAGCGGGCAGAGAGUUCAGAUUCCUGACAGCCUGAUGAAUAAAACUGUCUUUGAGUCGGCUAGUCCUGGCCCGCGGACCCCGCUCUGUGGAGGUCUUUGCUGGUGAGGCGGGUGCUGUAAAUGUCCUGCAGGGAGGGAAGAGCGGUUCCACUGAUCUUCUCAGCUGCCCUCACUAUGUGGUGGAGAGUCUUGCGGCAGGAUGCGGUGCAGGCUCCGUACCACACAGUGAUGCAGUUGGUCAGGAUGCUCUCUAUGGUCCCUCUGUAGAAAGAGCACACGAUGGGGGUCGGGGCUCUGGCUCUUCUCAGUUUGCGCAGGAAGUAGAGACACUGGUGAUCUUUCUUGGCCAGUGAUGAGGUGUUGCUGGUCCAGGAGACAUCCUCGGUGAUGUUCAGCGGAGCAUGCUGCGAGUGCACUCUCCACAAGUCCACAACAAUCUAUAAAUUCCUUGCAAUUGUACGUUGAGGAACAUUGUCCUUAAACUGUUCGACUAUUUUCCCAUGCACUUGUUCACAAAGAGGUGAACCUCACCCCAUCUUUGCUUGUGAAUGACUGAGCAAUUCAGGGAAGCUCCUUUUAUACCCAAUCAUGGCACCCACCUGUUCCCAAUUAGCCUGUUCACCUGUGGGAUGUUCCAAACAGGUGUUUGAUGAGCAUUCCUCAACUUUCUCAGUCUUUUUUGCCACCUCUCCCAGCUUUUUUGGAACGUGUUGCAGCCAUAAAAUUCUAAGUUAAUGAUUAUUUGCUAAAAUAAUAAAGGUUUACCAGUUUGAACAUGAAAUAUCUUUUCUUUGUAGUGUAUUCAAUUAAAUAUAGGUUGAAUAUGCUUUGCAAACCAUUGUAUUCUGUUUUUAUUUAUGUUUAACACAACGUCCCAACUUCAUUGGAAUUGGGGUUGUAUAUGCUUAAGCCUCGUGAGGAGGUGGCACCGCCGCCCAGCCGAAGGGAUUACUGUUCCAGCCGGGCCACUUGUUCCGCGCGGUCGGUGUGGUAUUCUCCAGAAGCAGUUUUGUAUUUCUUUUUUAAUUCACUUUAUUUACAGCUCAGCACACAGACCCAACAUGUCAUCCAACUAUCUACUUGUAUAGCCACACUACUUUCGUCUUCAUAUCUUAUCUUAUCAAAUACAAACAUGCCUGAAAUACGUGACAUUUACGCUGUUUGACUGAAAGCACAAAUGAGCAUUCUGCAUGUCAGGAAGCAUAGUUCAUGAACCUGACCAAUAUUUGUCCCAAAAAUUUGCAAACCAAUUUGUUGGUAAACUGAGGUCUCAUUAAGAAGUUUCACCUUAAUUGCUACAUUUUUUUACUUCAAUGGAGUUGUGGAGAGACUGAAGCUCACUCGUAACUCGUAAGUCAUUGCUCACAAGUCAAGGUAAAAAAAUUGGCCAAGCAACGGUGUGUAUCUUGGAAAACUCACAAGUGAGGGCGCUCGUAAGUUGAGGUACCACUGUAUUUCAUUAGACUUUUAUUUUUUUCCUUUUGCUAAUUGACUGGGACCAAUUGAAUAUUUUCAUUGAAUCAAAGUCAGGUGUGCACGGUUCAUUUAGAACAGUCUCUUCAAUUACAAAUCUGAUUUCUUGCCUGAUUAAAGGGUUAAAACUUGAGAGCCUUGUCAUUUGGGCUAAACUUGUAAUGUUAACAUGCCCACUUCCCAAGUUCACACCAGCGUGACCAGUGAUUUAUGCCAUGUCCUGCAUCCAUCCAUCCAUUUUCUGUACCGCUUUUCCUCACUAGCGUCGCGGCCUAUCCCAGCUAUCUUCGGGGUGAGAGGCGGUGUACACCCUAAACGAGUCGCCAGCCAAUUGUAGGGCACCUAUAAACAAACAACCAUUCGCACUCACAUUCACACCUAUGGGCAAUUUAG